RNAcentral lists this ribosomal RNA (497 nucleotides) under uncultured bacterium. RNAcentral describes it as "partial 16S ribosomal RNA". It matches the Rfam family "Bacterial small subunit ribosomal RNA", at positions 28 to 507 of the family's 1533-position model. The record is from RNAcentral.
GAUGAACGCUGGCGGCGUGCCUAAUACAUGCAAGUCGAGCGAACAGAUGAGGAGCUUGCUCCUCUGACGUUAGCGGCGGACGGGUGAGUAACACGUGGAUAACCUACCUAUAAGACUGGGAUAACUUCGGGAAACCGGAGCUAAUACCGGAUAAUAUAUUGAACCGCAUGGUUCAAUAGUGAAAGACGGUUUUGCUGUCACUUAUAGAUGGAUCCGCGCCGCAUUAGCUAGUUGGUAAGGUAACGGCUUACCAAGGCGACGAUGCGUAGCCGACCUGAGAGGGUGAUCGGCCACACUGGAACUGAGACACGGUCCAGACUCCUACGGGAGGCAGCAGUAGGGAAUCUUCCGCAAUGGGCGAAAGCCUGACGGAGCAACGCCGCGUGAGUGAUGAAGGUCUUCGGAUCGUAAAACUCUGUUAUUAGGGAAGAACAAAUGUGUAAGUAACUAUGCACGUCUUGACGGUACAUAAUCAGAAAGCCACGGCUAACUACGUG